AACUAACGCUGGCGGCGUGCCUAAUACAUGCAAGUCGAACGAGGAAAGCACUUCGGUGCGAGUAUGAGUGGCGCACGGGUGAGUAACGCGUGGAUAAUCUGCCCUCUAGUGGGGAACAACCUACCGAAAGGUAGGCUAAUACCGCAUAAGACUACAGUCCCUGCGGGGACAGUGGUUAAAGAUUUAUCGCUAGAGGAUGAGUCCGCGUAAGAUUAGCUUGUUGGUGAGGUAAUGGCUCACCAAGGCUACGAUCUUUAGCUGGUCUGAGAGGAUGAUCAGUCACACUGGAACUGAGACACGGUCCAGACUCCUACGGGAGGCAGCAGUAGGGAAUAUUGCGCAAUGGGGGAAACCCUGACGCAGCGACGCCGCGUGAGUGAUGAAGGCCCUCGGGUCGUAAAACUCUGUCGUAAAGGAAUAAAAAAAUGAAGGUACUUUACAAGAAAGGACCGGCUAACUUCG
Molecule: ribosomal RNA, 462 nt
Filed under: uncultured Bdellovibrio sp.
Lineage: Bacteria; Pseudomonadati; Bdellovibrionota; Bdellovibrionia; Bdellovibrionales; Pseudobdellovibrionaceae
Description: bacterial SSU rRNA
Rfam family: Bacterial small subunit ribosomal RNA
Source: RNAcentral